CGCUCCGUCUUUGGGGAGUAGCUGGUCUCUAAGUUUUCAACUUGGUGAUUCACACAUCAACAUAUUUGGUACUCAAUUACCAUGGUGUGUGAGACCUGAGCCUUCAGGUU
This 110-nucleotide small RNA is filed under the name Vibrio cholerae. RNAcentral describes it as "Manganese sequence". It matches the Rfam family "Manganese Mn2+ riboswitch aptamer (yybP-ykoY)". Rfam says of the family: This RNA was originally discovered in E. coli during a large scale screen and was named SraF. Lineage: Bacteria; Pseudomonadati; Pseudomonadota; Gammaproteobacteria; Vibrionales; Vibrionaceae. The record is from RNAcentral.